RNAcentral lists this small nuclear RNA (107 nucleotides) under Erinaceus europaeus (western European hedgehog). Lineage: Eukaryota; Metazoa; Chordata; Mammalia; Eulipotyphla; Erinaceidae. The record is from RNAcentral.
GUGCUCACUUUGGCAGCACAUAUACUGAAAUUGGAACGAUACAGAGAAGAUCAGCGUGGCCCGUGCUCAAGGAUAAUACGCAAAUUCAUGAAGUAUUCCAUAUUUAA